UGCUCGCUUCGGCAGCAAUAUACUAAAAUUGGAACGAUACAGAGAAGAUUAGCAUGGUCCCUGUGUGAGCAUGAUACCCAAAUUCAUGAAGGUUCCAUAUUUUU
This is a small nuclear RNA of Peromyscus leucopus (white-footed mouse), 104 nucleotides long. Lineage: Eukaryota; Metazoa; Chordata; Mammalia; Rodentia; Cricetidae. The record is from RefSeq and is a predicted model, not a curated record.